Molecule: long non-coding RNA, 5968 nt
Organism: Numida meleagris (helmeted guineafowl)
Lineage: Eukaryota; Metazoa; Chordata; Aves; Galliformes; Numididae
Exons: 3
Source: RefSeq, a predicted model, not a curated record
UCCUAAUAUAAGGAAAUAUUUCUUUCAUAUCCUUUUCAGCAAGACAGUUCUAGUUUUUCACUCCCUUCUGCUGGUGACAGACCCAAACUCAAUUGUUUGGAGCCAAAAAUUAUCAGUACUGCAUAAUUCCUGUAUCCCCUGGAACACAAGCAGCUGUUUUCAGCCCUGUUUUCAGCUGGCAUCCAGUGGCAGUGCCACUAAUUGGCACACUUUUCUAGCAAGCUGAUCAUGCAAACAAGGCUACAGAAACAAAACUCCCUUUCAAAAGCCAUGCCCCAGGACUAAAGAAAAGUAGCACAGAAAGUCGUGAACUUUAAUAACAAGGCUGGCUCUAUACAGGACACCUGAAUUUCCAGGAAUGUCCAGCUGGCACAUUUCAUAUGUAUAAAAAUUAUAACUUUUUAAAAGCUGCAGGACCUCAUCUUUACCAAAAGGCUCAUCAGAAUGAGUACAAUCAUAAUUUGGUGUUAAAUGGCAUUUUUUUUUUCAAAUAAUUUUUAAACCCUUACGUGUAUUUUUGCAUUGUGUGUGCCUGGAAAGUUGCAUAAAGCGUGUUGCUUCAGGGCUGCACCUAAUUAUAUUGGGCAUCCAGAAAUAGGUGCAUCUGACUCAGAAUUUCUGCAUGCUUUGCCAGCCAAUCAAACCGUAAGACAUGCAAGCUAUGGUUAAAUUAAGCAAUAAGACACCGCAAGCUGCAAGUUGUGACUUAUCGGCACACAACACACCGCAAGGAAGAAGAUCACAACAGGAAACAUUUUUAAGGUAGUAGUUGUCCUCAGCCCAGCUAAGAAUAUCAUCAUUACUGUGGCUUUGUGUACUUCGAGUCAGAGGAUCAACUAUGCUAACCCUGAACGUCACAAGAGAAGACUAAACAUAACAUUAGGGAGGGAGCCCCAAAGCAAGAAGGUAGCCAAGACAAACAGGAAUAUACUGCUUAAAUCAAGAAGUGAGCAGGUACAGAACUUCCUUUCUUCAUUAUUCCUAAUCAGUUUAAGAGCAUGAUUCAUUUGUUAAACUUCAUUUGAUACAAGUUGUAGAGAAAAAAUUGAAUUACCCAUGGAAGGCACAAUAGAAUAAUUAAAGGAAGUAGGUAUUCAAUGCCUUUGAAAAUCCAUCACUCCUCGAGAAAAUGCUUACGUACAUAUUUGUGUCCAUCUCUGUAAAGGAAAAUAUGCACGUUUAUGCCUGAAGAUCUUCUUGGAUGAAGGCCAAGGAGAGAAAUUCAGGAAGAUGAGGAACAGUUUUGAUUUUUAUGGCAGAGCAUUAUUUCUCCUGGACCACUACUGUUAAGUCAGAAAGCAAGGCGAGUAUAAAUGAGGGACCUGGAGAAAUCAAGCCUGAAGAGUAAAAUGUGAAACAAUAUUUUGCUGAGGUGAGUGAAAACCACUUCUUAUGCACAUCACAUGACAGACAUUGCCAAUCCUGAAGAUCCUCACAUGAACAACAGUUCUCCAACAAAAACUGAACAAAAAGAGAAGUUAUGUAGCGCCCACGACAGGGUUCCAGGAAAGGACUGCUACCCAUGAACAACGGCAGGAAAGCACAGGAAUGAAGCCUUGUUGCCCAUUUCAUCUUCUCUAAUGAUCACAGAGAAAGCACAAAAAGCUUUGAAGGCUGAUGUAUCUGUGUGGCUAGAGUAUGAGUGAAAUGCACUGCACAAGAGCAUAUAGGAAGUGAACAUAAAAACUUAGGAAGUUCAGUUACGAGAAGAGUAGAGCUCUGCAUCUGGUGCAGACAAAAAAAACCCACAACAAACAACAUGCAUCCAUAUGGGCACCCAGCAACACCGGUGAAAAGGGCCUCUGGAGUUACUAUGGACACAGCAGGUCAGUACAAACUAAAAGCACACCCCUACCAGAGAUAAGGCAAGCAACAUACAGUUAUGUUAGAGAAACAGGGACAGAAAGGUGAGGAAAGUUAUUGUUCUCCUUUAUUCUGCAUGGCUUCACAUUGAGGCAUCCAGUUGCCAGGUGAAGUGACAAGGGAUGAGCAGAACCUGGGAGAGCAACCAAGAAGGCCUAGGGCCUUGAGUAUGUGCCUCACAUAGCGGUUGAGGGAGCUGGAGUGGGAGCAAGAGGGUGAUCUACCAGUUGAUUGGCAGCUCACAGCAACUCAAGCAGCCUACAGCUCCUGGAAGAGAAACUACAAGGAUAAAGAAACCAUGUGUUCCAGUGCCAGAUGGUACAAAAAUGGGCACUUGAGAGGUUCAGGUCAACUCUCCCCCACCUCACACUCUCUGUUUUCAACAGCAGGGUCAUGCAGGCCUGCAGCAGGUUGCUCAGCAGGGCUGUGGCACCUCCAUCCACCAAAGUUCAAGACCUGUCCAGACAAACACUGUUUGACAUGAAUGGGAAGAGUAUGUCUUCCAGUUAGACUGGAAAGAUACCGGGAUCCUCUCCAAAGAAUGCUUCAAGGAGAAAUAUGCACACAUACAGAAUCAUGGACUGCCUCAGGUGGAACAAAUUCCUGUGGAUUUAUACUGAAGUGCACCACAGUAUUCACGGUAAUUCACUGCCGGAAAGAAAACGGUUACUAACCUUUAGGUGGCAGUUACAGACCUUUGAAUUUUUACCUCCUCAGCACCUAAUAAGACUAAUGUGGCUUUGCCACACCAUUUACGUUGUCAACUCUGCUAACACUUGCUAUUUGUAAAUAUCAUACUGAUAUUUGUCUUUUAAAUAAAUAAAAAUACGUUGUUAUCCUAAGAAUACCAGGCCCUGGCUCUGAAAUGUACUCAAAAAGGUAAAAGCCACAGUUCUACCUACAGAACACCCGGAAUGAAUUCAUUAGAUGCCUGUAGAUGGAUAAAAUAAAGAGACAGAAUCAUUUUUACUGCUUUCUACUAGGAAAGUAUUUAGGGUUGCACAUUACUGUGUUUCUAACCAGAGUGUGGAAUCUCCCUAAUUAUACUCAUAGCACAGUACAUGAUGCAGCACUGUUAGCUCAGAUGCAAAGACACUUCUGUUCAGUGGCCAUCUGAUCACUAGUAAAAGAUGUCCAGAAAGCAGAUAUGGAAAGCUAAAAUAGCUAGUUAAAUUUCUGAUGGCAUUGCUAGAUUUUUUUCAGAAAUCACUUUCCAGCCUUUUUCCAUCCAGAAUGCAAAAGGACGAGAAGAUGAUCAUACUGGGUCAUACAUUCAUCUAGCCCUGUAUCUUAUUUCCUCCAGCAAUGGCCAGUAGAGGAGGCCCAUGGAAACAUCAACACAGGUCAUGCAAAGUGAUAGGCACCCGGCCCUGCAAUUUGUGAUUCAGAAGCUUCCAGAGCAAAAGGUGAUGGCUUUGAAACGAUAAGGACAUUGCCAUGACAAAUGUGAAAGACUUUUGCACAUAAUUUAUUAAAAAGAAGUCAGUAAGAAACAGAAAUUUUAUUAUUCCUGAAAUAAAUACAACAUGUUAAAUCAGGAAACUUACGCAACUAACAGUAUCAAAGAGUAGUACUUCUUCUGAACUUCUCGUGCUACUUCUUUUUCAGAAUGUUAAUUAAGAAUAAAAACAAUACAAAAUCCUUACGACAGCUGAAGAUGAAACCCAGAGUUAAAUUUGCAACAAAUCUGGAAUUCCUCUUUGAUCCUUCUAAGGCAACGUCUACACUUUCUUAUCAAUCCAAACAACCAAAAAUAAUCUAAAUAAACAACAGCAAUGACAAAAAGAAAUCCUACGACAUCCCAAGACAACGAUUCUAAGGAGUCAGACUAUUACAGCACUCUAACACACCUCCACAUGCAUUAAAUAUGUACAUACUCCACGUGUAGGUGAUGUGGUGUGGCAUAAAUACUUAAUUAGCCAGAGUUUAAGUUACUGACUCAUUACUCAUAAAUGGUAGAAUUUUCUUUUCUGAUUUCAUAAGCGUACAUAUUUUAAGUGUUCCUAAAUGAGUAAGAACAGAAGACUGUGGUACGUGCAGUAAAGACUUCAACUAGGGCUGCUAUGCAAAGAGCUACUGAGAAACACAGAAAGGAACGUGUAAUUUAUGGCGCUACAACCCAGCACAAUUAUACUGAAGUCAAAGGGCCACGCUCAAGAGUAAAUUGUUCAGCUGGUAGCAAAAGUUUGCAGAGCAGCUGCCUCUGGCAGCAUUUUGCAAGUUUGUAUUUACAAAUAAAUUAACCAACUGGCUUCCAAAUGUAGGUCACAACACUUUCCCCUCAGGUGGCUAUGUUAUUUUCUCUCCGCUUUGAAAGGACAAGAAGAAAUAAGAGCAAAGUGGGCAUCAUCCUCAGCUCUCAAGCAUUUUACCCUAUGGAAACAAGAAAUGAAAAUACCACUACGGAGACCGUUUCUUACUUGUAACCAGUGCUUAAUUCUCCCCUUUUCAUUUCAAAAGCAACAGGCAGGCCAAAAUAAACCCACAAGUCUCAGACUUCAGACUGAAACUCUGAAAGCACCCUUGGGCUAUUUCAGCCCUGCAUAUGAGCGUGAGCUUCAUUUCAGGAGAACACUGAUCUAGACGUUGGGCUUACAGCAGAUUGCCCAUUCAUUCCUGGAGCAGAAAUAGUGCCAAGCUAUAACGGGCUCUGUGGAGUCAAGAAUAGCUUAGCAGCAGUAGCAGCGGACAUCUCAUCCACAUACGUGGUAAUGUCUUUGCAACUCUGAGCUAUUUCGAGACUUCUUUUUUUCCUGACCCUGUCAGGGAGAAGGUUUUCCAAGACGCACUUGUAUUUGAUCAGGUGGAUGGAAAAAGCGAGCCAGGAACACCAACAGUAUUAUCUGAAUAUCUGGCAGUCAUUAAAUCAGAAUUAAUGAAAUACAUUAAAAGAAUUGAUAGACCAGCAAUGGAGAUGUCUGACAAAUUGAUAUCCAGUGGAACUCCAAGCGUGACUUAAAAACGGGAGCUGUAGCAUCACAGACCCUUAAAGGUAACAGCAUCACUAGGCACCUCUACAUUACAGCAAUGUUUCGAGCUCUCUCACGCAGAUUUGCUCAGAUAAAAGAUAGAAUGUUGGCAUUUUCAGCUGCCAAAAUUGCAAUUUGCAAUUAAAAAUUAAAACUGGCACCCAUUCCAUGCAGGCAAUUAUCUAAAGGCAGCUGGCGAUCUUCCUUGUUUACAGUGCUGCUGUGUCAUGACUUCACUCUGUUUGGAAAUUUACUUUUUUUUUUUUUUUUUGGAGGUUUAAACUCGUCAACUUUAUUUCCAGCCUGAACUUUAUUCAUUUUAAUGGUUUUCGUGGUGAUAUCAAAGAGAAAGAUCCCAAACUGCAAUUUAUGGACUUUCCAUGGCACUGCAGUGCGACAGCUCUCGGCAGCGCGGCGAUCCUCACGCCCUUCCCUACGCACUGCCUACAGGAUAACACCUGUAGGAACCCAAGCGCCACAACGUUCCAAACUAAUGCCCUCCGAGAAGAAAGUUCAGCCUGUAUCUGAUUUGCACAGCCAAACGGCAGCGGCUGCUCUACCGAGCAGCCACAAACCCUCGUGCUGAAUGCGUGACAGUACUACGCCCGUUCCUGCCGCGUAUCGCCCGCAGCGGGUUGGUUCUCCCCGGUCAGGGCGGCCGUGGAGCAUCUCGCAGAGCAGCACGGCGCCGUGCUCUCGGCGGAGCACCGUUCCACCUCCGAGCGUUUCCCUUCGGCGGGGAUCGGGACUACCCUGCCGCUGGGCAAGGAGCGCUCGCUGCGUGCCACACCGCGCUCGGGUCCCCAUCCCCCGGCGAAGGGCUCCGCGUCCCGCGGGCCCUCCCCCGGACGGUGCCGGAGCCCCGAACAGCGGAGACCGCCGAGAGCUGAGGAACACCGCGGGGGAAUCGGUCCGAGUUUCACAGCCGUGACAGCAACAGGACGCGGUCAGCGCCGCGCUCCUCGAAGCGAGGAGAAGCGAAAGGAGGAGUCACUCGCGCAGAAAAAGCGCAGAAAUGUCACAGAGCAGAGGGCAGGGCGGGCGGUCUCAGAGCCGACGCUCUCCCUCAGCGCUCCCCCGUCCCCCCAGCCGGGCGCACCUCGGGUGACCGCACACGCGUGGAGAGGCGAACGCGG